Molecule: ribosomal RNA, 583 nt
Filed under: uncultured beta proteobacterium
Lineage: Bacteria; Pseudomonadati; Pseudomonadota; Betaproteobacteria
Description: bacterial SSU rRNA
Rfam family: Bacterial small subunit ribosomal RNA
Source: RNAcentral
CCUACGGGUAGGCAGCAGUGGGGAAUUUUGGACAAUGGGCGAAAGCCUGAUCCAGCCAUGCCGCGUGAGUGAAGAAGGCCUUCGGGUUGUAAAGCUCUUUUAGUCGGAAAGAAAGAGUUGCAAUGAAUAAUUGUGAUUUAUGACGGUACCGACAGAAAAAGCACCGGCUAACUACGUGCCAGCAGCCGCGGUAAUACGUAGGGUGCGAGCGUUAAUCGGAAUUACUGGGCGUAAAGGGUGCGCAGGCGGUCUUGCAAGUCAAGAUGUGAAAGCCCCGGGCUUGACCUGGGAAUUGCGUUUGAAACUACAAGGCUAGAGUGCAGCAGAGGGGAGUGGAAUUCCAUGUGUAACAGUGAAAUGCGUAGAGAUGUGGAAGAACACCGAUGGCGAAGGCAGCUCCCUGGGUUGACACUUGACGCUCAUGCACGAAAGCGUGGGGAGCAAACAGGAUUAGAUACCCUGGUAGUCCACGCCCUAAACGAUGUCAACUAGUUGUCGGAUCUAAUUAAGGAUUUGGUAACGUAGCUAACGCGUGAAGUUGACCGCCUGGGGAGUACGGUCGCAAGGUUAAAACUCAAAGGAA